This 405-nucleotide ribosomal RNA is filed under the name uncultured bacterium. RNAcentral describes it as "partial 16S ribosomal RNA". It matches the Rfam family "Bacterial small subunit ribosomal RNA", at positions 28 to 526 of the family's 1533-position model. The record is from RNAcentral.
GACGAACGCUGGCGGCGUGCUUAACACAUGCAAGUCGAGCGGAGCGGCGAACGGGUGAGUAAGGCGUGAGUAACUGCCCCCCUCUCUGGGAUAACAGUUGGAAACGGCUGCUAAUACCGGAUAGUGGGGGAUGACUCGCGUCCUAUCAGCUUGUUGGUGGGGUAGUGGCCUACCAAGGCGACGACGGGUAGCCGGCCUGGGAGGGCGACCGGCCACAUUGGGCUGAGGUACGGCCCAAACGCCUACGGGAGGCAGUGGUGGGGAAUCUGGCACAGUGGGGGAAACCCUGAUGCAGCAACGCCGCGGGCGGGAUGUCGGCCUUCGGGUUGUAAACCGCUUUCAGCCAUGACGCGGUAGUGGCAGAAGAAGCACCGGCUAACUACGUGCCAGCAGCCGCGGUAAUUC